GGGGUUGUGGCUCAGAGGUAGAGCACUCGCCUAGCAUAUGAGAGGCACUGGGUUUGAUCCUCAGCACCA
RNAcentral lists this transfer RNA (69 nucleotides) under Ictidomys tridecemlineatus (thirteen-lined ground squirrel). Its description in RNAcentral is "Spermophilus tridecemlineatus (thirteen-lined ground squirrel) tRNA". It matches the Rfam family "tRNA". Rfam says of the family: Transfer RNA (tRNA) molecules are approximately 80 nucleotides in length. The record is from Rfam by way of RNAcentral. Lineage: Eukaryota; Metazoa; Chordata; Mammalia; Rodentia; Sciuridae.